CCUACGGGAGGCAGCAGUGGGGGAUAUUGCACAAUGGGGGAAACCCUGAUGCAGCGACGCCGCGUGGGUGAAGAAGCGCCUCGGCGCGUAAAGCCCUGUCAGCAGGGAAGAAAAUGACGGUACCUGAAGAAGAAGCACCGGCUAACUACGUGCAAGCAGCCGCGGGAAUACGUAGGGGGCAAGCGUUACCCGGAUUUACGGGGUGUAAAGGGGGCGCAGACGGCGAUGCAAGCCAGGAGUGAAAGCCCGGGGCCCAACCCCGGGACUGCUGUUGGAACUGCGUGGCUAGAGUGCAGGAGGGGCAGGCGGAAUUCCUGGUGGAGCGGUGAAAUGCGUAGAUAUCAGGAGGAACACCGGUGGCGAAGGCGGCCUGCUGGACUGCAACUGACGUUGAGGCCCGAAAGCGUGGGGAGCAAACAGGAUUAGAUACCCGAGUAGUC
RNAcentral lists this ribosomal RNA (440 nucleotides) under uncultured bacterium. RNAcentral's name for it is "partial 16S ribosomal RNA". It matches the Rfam family "Bacterial small subunit ribosomal RNA", at positions 338 to 795 of the family's 1533-position model. The record is from RNAcentral.